GGGAUAAAAGGCAGGAAAAACUGGGAUAAAAGGCAGGAAAAACUGGGAUAAAAGGUGGGAAAAACUGGGAUAAAAGGCAGGAAAAACUGGGAUAAAAGGGGGGAAAAACUGGGAUAAAAGGCAGGAAAAACUGGGAUAAAAGGUGGGAAAAACUGGGAUAAAAGGUGGGAAAAACUGGGAUAAAAGGUGGGAAAAACUGGGAUAAAAGGCAGGAAAAACUGGGAUAAAAGGGGGGAAAAACUGGGAUAAAAGGGGGGAAAAACUGGGAUA
Haemorhous mexicanus (house finch) is the source of this 270-nucleotide long non-coding RNA. RefSeq lists it as uncharacterized. NCBI's taxonomy places the organism in Eukaryota, Metazoa, Chordata, Aves, Passeriformes, Fringillidae. The transcript has 3 exons. The record is from RefSeq and is a predicted model, not a curated record.